This 112-nucleotide Y RNA is filed under the name Prolemur simus (greater bamboo lemur). RNAcentral's name for it is "Y RNA (ENSPSMG00000019306.1)". It matches the Rfam family "Y RNA". From Rfam's summary of the family: Y RNAs are components of the Ro ribonucleoprotein particle (Ro RNP), in association with Ro60 and La proteins. The Y RNAs and Ro60 and La proteins are well conserved, but the function of the Ro RNP is not known. In humans the RNA component can be one of four small RNAs -- hY1, hY3, hY4 and hY5. Lineage: Eukaryota; Metazoa; Chordata; Mammalia; Primates; Lemuridae. The record is from Rfam by way of RNAcentral.
GGCUGACCCAAAGGUAGUAGUGAGUUAUCUCACUUGAUUGUUCACAGUCACAUAUCUAACUCCUUGUUCUACUCUUUCCCCUCUUCUCACUACCGUACUUGACUAGUCUUAA